Non-coding RNA from Agelaius phoeniceus (red-winged blackbird), 2779 nucleotides. The record is from RefSeq and is a predicted model, not a curated record. NCBI's taxonomy places the organism in Eukaryota, Metazoa, Chordata, Aves, Passeriformes, Icteridae.
GGCGGCGGAGGCCGAGCGCGCGCCGUUCCCGUGGUGCCCCGCGGCCAAGAUGGCGGACCGGCGGCGGCAGCGCGCCUCGCAGGACAGCGAGGACAGCGAGGGCUCGGCGGCCUCCGACAGCGCCGGGUCCGCUCCCGGUUCCCCCCGCUCCGCCCGCUCCCGCUCGGGAUCCGGAUCUCGCUCCCGUUCCCGGUCCGGCUCGCCCCGGCUGUCGCACCGCCCGCCGCGCGGCGCCGCGGGGGCCCUCGGAGCUGGGCCGCGGGGCCGAGGGGCUGAGAGCGCCGGUGGGGCCGGGGGGAAGAGCGCGGCCGAGUCGGAGUGUGAAAGUGAGGAUGGCAUCGAAGGAGAUGCUGUGCUCUCUGACUACGAAAGCGCCGAGGACUCGGAGGCAGAGGAAGAGGAUUACAGCGAGGAAGAAAGCUCCAAGGUGGAGCUGAAGCAGGACAGCAACGAUUCCUGCGAGUCGGCGGCCAGAGGGGAGAAGGGCAGUGAGAAGGUGGAUGCCAAGGGAGCGGUGACGGGCGAGCGGCAGAGCGGGGAUGGGCAGGAGAGCACCGAGCCUGUGGAGAAGAAAGUUGGGAAGAAGGUUCCCAAGCACCUGGAUGACGAUGAGGAUCGCAAGAACCCGGCGUACAUCCCACGCAAGGGGCUCUUCUUUGAGCACGACCUCCGAGGGCAGACGCAGGAGGAGGAGGUCAGGCCAAAGGGUCGUCAGCGGAAGCUGUGGAAGGACGAGGGGCGCUGGGAACACGACAAGUUCCGUGAGGAUGAGCAGGCCCCCAAGACCAGGCAGGAGCUGAUUGCUCUGUAUGGGUACGACAUCCGCUCAGCCCACAACCCCGACGACAUCAAACCCCGCAGGAUGCGCAAGCCACGCUUUGGCAGUCCCCCUCAGCGAGACCCCAACUGGUCCAACGAGAGGCCCCCCAAGCCCCCAAGGCACCAGGGUGCCAAGAGCCCCUCGGCUCCCCCACGGCCCUACAGCAGCCGCAGCUCUGGCAGCGCUGGCAGGAUGCCCCCUGCCAGGAACUACCCCAGGAUGGGGGGCUACAAGGACACACGUCCAGGCUACCGAGCUUCAGAGGCCACUGUCCUGCACAGGAACGGGGAACAAGCCAAGCAGGAGGGUGGCUACCGUGGGAAGCACACAGAGCAGAGCCCAUCCAGGGACACGUCCCCUGAGUUGGAGGUGGGACAUGUCCAUGGCAGCCCUGGGAAGGAGGAGGGGGCUCUGGAAAACCAAGCCACGGGUGCUGAUGCUGUGCAGCCACCACCGGACAGACCAGUGGAGAAGAAAUCUUAUUCCCGGGCAAGAAGGACCAGAGUCAAGGCUGGGGAGGCAGGGAAGCUGGCAGAGGAGGUGCCUGCUUCUGAGGGGCUGGCUCCUGUGAUUCCAAAAGCCACGCCAGCUGAGACCUCCCCCACACCAGCCAAGAGCAAUUGGGAGUCACCAGUGGAAUCCAGCGUGGAUGGACUUGAGCAGGAGAUGACCCAGAUGAACCUGACAGAGCAGAACUGGAGCCCGGGGCAGUCCCAGUUCAUCCCGCCCCGGGAGCUGAGGGGUAUUCCCAACCAUGUGCACGUGGGAACUGGGCCAGCACCGCAGUUUAACCGGAUGGAGGAGAUGGCAGUGCCGGGGGGGCGUGUGAAGCGCUACUCAUCGCAGCGGCAGAGACCCCCCGUGCCAGAGCCCGCACCCCCCAUGCACAUCAGCAUCGUGGAAGGGCACUACUAUGACCCACUACAAUUCCAGGGACCAAUCUACGCCCACGGUGAGAACCCAGCCCCGCUGCCGCCCCAAGGGAUGAUUGUGCAGCCGGAGAUGCACCUCCCUCAUCCAGGUUUACACCCCCACCAGACGCCCCCUGCCAUGGCAAACCCCGGCCUGUACCCCCCAGCAGUGUCCAUGCCCCCGGGGCAGCCCCCGCCGCAGCAGCUGCUCACUCCGACUUACUUCUCGGCCCCUGGAGUGAUGAAUUUUGGGAAUCCUGGCUACCCCUACCCCCCUGGAGCUCUGCCCCCUCCGCCCCCUCCUCAUCUCUAUUCCAACACGCAGGCGCAGUCCCAGGUGUAUGGGGGGGUCACCUACUACAACACUGUCCAGCAGCAGGUGCAGCCCAAGCCCUCCCCGCCCCGCCGGACGUCCCAGCCUGUGACCAUCAAGCCACCCCCUCCAGAGCCAAGCAAGCCCAGACCCGGGCAGACAUGUGCUGGUGGGUUCCUGUACAUGGGGAGGGCUGAGAAGCAAAUUGUCUGAUGGAGGGGCCCUGGAAAGGCCUCGUGAUGGAAAAAUCUGGAACCAUGAGGAGAAGUUGGCACAGGGGGGCUGGUUGUGCCCAGAGAGGACAGCAAAGGUGAAAAAUCAAAGGAGAGGAGCAACACGUAGGGACACAGCCACAGGAAUCCCAGCACCAGACUCAGCCCCUCGGCAAGGAGGAAGGCUGCUCCUUGGAAUGGCUCCUUCCCUGCGUGGAGGUGAGGCAGCAGGAUGAGCCACCUGCACUGUGCUCAGGACCAGGCACUUCCCCCAUGGCCUGAGCAGUGCCUUCCCAAAAUCCAUCUUGCUGCUGCCCACUCCCCUUCUCCCCCGUGCUGGGGCCGCCAAAGAACCAAUCCCUGAGUCGGUCCUUGGCCACAAGUUCUCCCAACUUCUCCCCGUUACUAAAUGUUCCUCGCUCCCUCCUGGGAUGUCAAACUCUGCUGGCUUGAUCGUGGUCUCUGUUUUUAUUUAAGGAAUGAAGCAGCUCCUUCAGUAAAGCUGAUUUGUUUCUUUUGGGUA